GCUGGUUUGGCUCAGUGGAUGCAGCUUCAGCCUGCAGACUGAAGGGUCCUUGGUUUGAUUCCAGGAAAGAGCA
Molecule: non-coding RNA, 73 nt
Organism: Myotis lucifugus (little brown bat)
Lineage: Eukaryota; Metazoa; Chordata; Mammalia; Chiroptera; Vespertilionidae
Source: Rfam